Molecule: ribosomal RNA, 851 nt
Filed under: uncultured bacterium
Lineage: Bacteria
Description: bacterial SSU rRNA
Rfam family: Bacterial small subunit ribosomal RNA
Source: RNAcentral
AGUCGACGGCAGCACAGGAGAGCUUGCUCUCUGGGUGGCGAGUGGCGGACGGGUGAGGAAUACAUCGGAAUCUACUCUGUCGUGGGGGAUAACGUAGGGAAACUUAUGCUAAUACCGCAUACGACCUACGGGUGAAAGUGGGGGACCGCAAGGCCUCACGCGAUUGAAUGAGCCGAUGUCGGAUUAGCUAGUUGGCGGGGUAAAGGCCCACCAAGGCGACGAUCCGUAGCUGGUCUGAGAGGAUGAUCAGCCACACUGGAACUGAGACACGGUCCAGACUCCUACGGGAGGCAGCAGUGGGGAAUAUUGGACAAUGGGCGCAAGCCUGAUCCAGCCAUACCGCGUGAGUGAAGAAGGCCCUCGGGUUGUAAAGCUCUUUUGUUGGGAAAGAAAUCCUGUUGGCUAAUACCCGGCGGGGAUGACGGUACCCAAAGAAUAAGCACCGGCUAACUUCGUGCCAGCAGCCGCGGUAAUACGAAGGGUGCAAGCGUUACUCGGAAUUACUGGGCGUAAAGCGUGCGUAGGUGGUUGCUUAAGUCUGUCGUGAAAGCCCUGGGCUCAACCUGGGAAUUGCGAUGGAUACUGGGCGACUAGAGUGUGGUAGAGGGUGGCGGAAUUCCCGGUGUAGCAGUGAAAUGCGUAGAGAUCGGGAGGAACAUCCGUGGCGAAGGCGGCCACCUGGGCCAACACUGACACUGAGGCACGAAAGCGUGGGGAGCAAACAGGAUUAGAUACCCUGGUAGUCCACGCCCUAAACGAUGCGAACUGGAUGUUGGGUUCAACUUGGAACCCAGUAUCGAAGCUAACGCGUUAAGUUCGCCGCCUGGGGAGUACGGUCGCAAGACUGAAAC